Long non-coding RNA from Panicum virgatum (switchgrass), 573 nucleotides. RefSeq lists it as uncharacterized. The record is from RefSeq and is a predicted model, not a curated record. Lineage: Eukaryota; Viridiplantae; Streptophyta; Magnoliopsida; Poales; Poaceae. The transcript has 2 exons.
UUGGUCGUUGCACCAGUCGCGCACCUAAUGAUCUAAGUAAGCUGCUUGAGAUCUGCAAAUUGCAGUGGUAGGGAGAGCGGCUAGACGGCAGAUAUGCUUGGGAGGAGGAGAGGUGGAUCGUCACCCAGGCCGCAUGAACCCAGCACCGGGGCGGCCGUCACUGCUGGAAACGGGCAGGGGGCGAACGUUUCGCAGUUCAUCACGCAGCUAGAUGAGUCGGUGACGAAGAGGCUGCAUCGCAUGAAUCAGAGGCUGGGGCUGCUUGAGCAGCAGAUGGAGACACUGGAGGCUGACGUUGCAAAGGCGAGCGGUGAUUCUGAAAUCUUAGAAGGUUGCAGCUGAAAUAACUGAUUGCCUUAAGCGACUCUCCGGGAGAGUUUAGAUGAUAGCAUCAGUGACUUCUUUUUUUUUGCGUGGGAUAGCAUCAGUGACUUCGUUUGUGACUGAGGCGAGCACUAUGGCAGGAUCUUUCACGUCGUUUUGGAUGCUUCAAUACUUCAGUUAUAGUCAGGCGACCACUGUUGUUGAAAUUGCAAUUUUGACCUCUUCCUGGAGGAUUCGAUACUUCAGUUA